RNAcentral lists this ribosomal RNA (1011 nucleotides) under Triticum aestivum (bread wheat). RNAcentral describes it as "partial small subunit ribosomal RNA". The record is from RNAcentral. Lineage: Eukaryota; Viridiplantae; Streptophyta; Magnoliopsida; Poales; Poaceae.
AUGAGGACGGCGUUGUCGCUUCUCUCCUUCCUCGCCGUCUCAGUGCUUAUCCUCGCCCCCAUGGCGAUGGCGGACGGCUACAGCCAGCCGCAAGACUACCAGCCGCCGGCCUACAGGAAGCCCGCGGACGGCCUUGCCGCCGGAUACUACGGCGAGUCGUGCCCCGACAUGGAGGGCAUCGUCCAGAGGGCCGUCAAGAAGGCCUUCGCCGCAGACUACACCAUCGCCGCGGGCCUCAUCCGCCUCUUCUUCCACGACUUUGCCGUCGGGGGGUGCGACGCGUCGAUCCUGAUAGACGCGCCGGGGAGCGAGAAGUACGCCGCGGCGAGCAAGACGCUCCGGGGCUUCGAGCUCAUCGAGGCCAUCAAGACGGAGCUGGAGGCCAAGUGCCCCAAGACCGUCUCCUGCGCCGACAUCCUCACCGCCGCCACCCGCGACGCCAGCAGGGAGGUGGGAGUGAGCUACUGGCCGCUCGUGUACGGCCGCAAGGACGGCCGCCAGUCCCGCAAAGAGGCCGCCGACAAGUACGUGCCCAUGGGCCGCGAGAGCGUCACAGACCUCGUCGCCUUCUUCGAGUCCAUGGGCCUAAACGUCCGCGACCUCGUCGUCCUCUCCGGCGCGCACACCAUCGGCAAGGCCAGCUGUGCCGCCGUGAAGCCGCGUCUGUGCAAGAGCAAGCCGGAGACGCUGGACGGCAAGUACGGCGACUUCCUGAGGCGCAAGUGCCGCCGCGGCGACGCGGAGCACGAGCGAGUGGAGCUUGACGGCGUCAGGCCCACGGCGUUCGAUAACGGCUACUACAAGAACCUGGAGCGCAGGAUGGGACUCCUGGAGACGGACCAGAAGAUGCUCCAUGACUCCCGGACCAGGAGCUUCGUCCAGGAAAUGGCCCGAGAGCCCGAGGAAUUCAAGCGCCAAUUCGCCGAGUCCAUGCGCUGGCUCGGCAACGUGCAGGUCCUCACCGGCAGCGAGGGCGAGGUUCGAUCCAAGUGCUCCGCCGUCAACUACUGA